Molecule: small nucleolar RNA, 125 nt
Filed under: Echinops telfairi (small Madagascar hedgehog)
Lineage: Eukaryota; Metazoa; Chordata; Mammalia; Afrosoricida; Tenrecidae
Description: Small nucleolar RNA SNORA61 (ENSETEG00000026481.1)
Source: RNAcentral
UCCCUCCAGAUUCCUUAUCCCUCAAACUUAAUUAGUGGUCUGAGUGGCAUUAAAAAGAGGAAAAUUAAAGUUGAAAUGAACUUGGAGUCUUUAGUUAUUAGUAAACAAGUUCGUCUCACCAGAGU